AGAGUUUGAUCAUGGCUCAGAUUGAACGCUGGCGGAAUGCUUUACACAUGCAAGUCGAGCGGCAGCGCGGGGCAACCUGGCGGCGAGCGGCGAACGGGUGAGUAAUGCAUCGGAACAUGUCCAUGUCGUGGGGGAUAGCCCGGCGAAAGCCGGAUUAAUACCGCAUACGCCCGAGAGGGAAAGCAGGGGACCGCAAGGCCUUGCGCGAUUGGGUUGGCCGAUGUCCGAUUAGCUUGUUGGUGAGGUAAAGGCUUACCAAGGCGAUGAUCGGUAGCUGGUCUGAGAGGAUGAUCAGCCACACUGGGACUGAGACACGGCCCAGACUCCUACGGGAGGCAGCAGUGGGGAAUUUUGGACAAUGGGGGCAACCCUGAUCCAGCCAUUCCGCGUGAGUGAAGAAGGCCUUCGGGUUGUAAAGCUCUUUUGUCCGGAACGAAACGGGCGGCCCUAAUACGGUCGACUACUGACGGUACCGGAAGAAUAAGCACCGGCUAACUACGUG
RNAcentral lists this ribosomal RNA (502 nucleotides) under uncultured bacterium. RNAcentral's name for it is "bacterial SSU rRNA". It matches the Rfam family "Bacterial small subunit ribosomal RNA", at positions 8 to 507 of the family's 1533-position model. The record is from RNAcentral.